RNAcentral lists this long non-coding RNA (517 nucleotides) under Rattus norvegicus (Norway rat). Its description in RNAcentral is "long non-coding RNA NONRATT023316". Lineage: Eukaryota; Metazoa; Chordata; Mammalia; Rodentia; Muridae. The record is from RNAcentral.
CCAAGAUCUCCUGACUACAAUAGCUACCUAAAAAGGCUUAAGGAUGCCUGGCUUAAGUCAGUUUUUAAUUCAUCCAUUGGCCACACUGCACGGGUGCUAUGGAUGCAUUGGGAGUACGUCUUCUCCAAGUAGAUCUGAUAUAUGGGUUUCAAACUUCAGCGCUGACUCUGAGAAAUCACAGUUGUACAUUCUAUGCAGUCAUCUGGACCCAUUUGCUUUUAGGACUAUGGGCUAUCAUAUUCUAUACAGCUUUCCUCUACAUCAGUGACUUACAGGCUCCAAUAUGCACAGGCUAUAUAAUUUCCUGUGAGUGUUGUACAGAAUGGAGUUAAUGCCUGUUAACGACAACUGAGGAAAGUGGCAGGCUAAGAGUCAUUCUUUGAGUCUCAGUGUCAGUUAACAGCUCAGGUUUGAUACAUUAUGAGCAGAAUUAGUGUUUUGUUCCUAACUGGCCAUCAAAUCUUCCAACCUAGUCGAGUACAUCUAUGAUGGGUUGAUGGUUGGCAAAUGCAGCCAG